Pelodiscus sinensis (Chinese soft-shelled turtle) is the source of this 438-nucleotide non-coding RNA. Lineage: Eukaryota; Metazoa; Chordata; Testudines; Trionychidae. The record is from the annotation of a RefSeq genome assembly.
AUGGCCUGGGCCCCCCUGCUCCUCGCGUUGCUCACCUACUGCUCAGAUUCGCUCGCCCAGUACGUGCUGACCCAGCCGCCUUCAGUGUCUGUGUCUCCAGGGCAAAAUGCUCAGCUCACCUGCACAGGAGAAAAGUUUGACAAAUACUAUGUGCACUGGUACCAGCAAAAACCUGGCCAGGCCCCCCAACUCGUCAUAUAUAAGGAUAGUGAGAGACCCUCCGGAAUCCCUGAGAGAUUUUCUGGGGCCAGCUCUGGCAACACGGCCACGUUAACCAUCACUGGGGUCCAAGCUGAAGAUGAGGCUGAUUAUUACUGUUACGUGGGGUACGAUGACACUCUACUCACAGUGACACAGCCUGAUGGGGAAGUGAGACACAAACUUCUGGGCAGCCUGGUGUCACAGUAUGGCUACUUAGUAGCCAGUGGAGUGGAUUAG